RNAcentral lists this ribosomal RNA (253 nucleotides) under uncultured bacterium. RNAcentral describes it as "partial 16S ribosomal RNA". It matches the Rfam family "Bacterial small subunit ribosomal RNA", at positions 524 to 776 of the family's 1533-position model. The record is from RNAcentral.
GACGGAGGAUGCAAGCGUUAUCCGGAAUGAUUGGGCGUAAAGCGUCCGCAGGUGGCAGUUCAAGUCUGCUGUCAAAGACCGGGGCUUAACUUCGGAAAGGCAGUGGAAACUGAACAGCUAGAGUAUGGUAGGGGCAGAGGGAAUUCCUGGUGUAGCGGUGAAAUGCGUAGAUAUCAGGAAGAACAUCGGUGGCGAAGGCGCUCUGCUGGACCAUAACUGACACUCAGGGACGAAAGCCAGGGGAGCAAACGGG